AGGGCACCACCAGGAGUGGAGCCUGCGGCUUAAUUUGACUCAACACGGGAAAACUCACCCGGCCCGGACACUGGAAGGAUUGACAGAUUGAGAGCUCUUUCUUGAUUCAGUGGGUGGUGGUGCAUGGCCGUUCUUAGUUGGUGGAGCGAUUUGUCUGGUUAAUUCCGAUAGCGAACGAGACUCUAGCCUACUAAAUAGAUCGUCGGCUUACAAACGCUGAUGAGACUUCUUAGAGGGACAGGCGGCGAUUCAGCCGCACGAAACAGAGCAAUAACAGGUCUGUGAUGCCCUUAGAUGUCCGGGGCCGCACGCGCGCUACACUGAAGUGAUCAGCGUGCAUUUUCAGCCUACUCUGCCAAGAGUGGGAAACCCAAUGAACCUUCUUCGUGAUUGGGAUAGGAGAUUGUAAUUAUUCUCCUUGAACGAGGAAUUCCCAGUAAGCGCGAGUCAUAAGCUCGCGUUGAUUACGUCCCUGCCCUUUGUACACACCGCCCGUCGCUACUACCGAUUGAAUGUUUU
RNAcentral lists this ribosomal RNA (519 nucleotides) under uncultured eukaryote. Its description in RNAcentral is "SSU rRNA". It matches the Rfam family "Eukaryotic small subunit ribosomal RNA", at positions 1161 to 1699 of the family's 1831-position model. The record is from RNAcentral.